RNAcentral lists this small nuclear RNA (107 nucleotides) under Theropithecus gelada (gelada). The record is from RNAcentral. Lineage: Eukaryota; Metazoa; Chordata; Mammalia; Primates; Cercopithecidae.
UUGCUUGCUUUGACAGCACAUAUACUAAAAUCAGAAUAAUACAGAGAAGAUUAGCAUGGUCCCUGCACAAGGAUAACACGUGAAUUUGUGAAGCAUUCCAUAUUUUU